RNAcentral lists this ribosomal RNA (509 nucleotides) under uncultured glomeraceous AM fungus. RNAcentral describes it as "SSU rRNA". It matches the Rfam family "Eukaryotic small subunit ribosomal RNA", at positions 569 to 1078 of the family's 1831-position model. Lineage: Eukaryota; Fungi; Glomeromycota; Glomeromycetes; Glomerales; Glomeraceae. The record is from RNAcentral.
AGCAGCCGCAGUAAUUCCAGCUCCAAUAGCGUAUAUUAAAGUUGUUGCAGUUAAAAAGCUCGUAGUUGAAUUUCGGGAUCAAUGUUUCGGUCAUGCCCUUGGUAUGUACUGAUAUUAUUGGUUUCUCACCUUCUAAAGAACCGUAAUGCCAUUAAUUUGGUGUCACGGGGAAUUAGGACUGUUACCUUGAAAAAAUUAGAGUGUUUAAAGCAGGCUCACGCCUGAAUACAUUAGCAUGGAAUAAUGAAAUAGGACAUCCGAUUCUAUUUUGUUGGUUUCUAGGAUCGAUGUAAUGAUUAAUAGGGAUAGUUGGGGGCAUUAGUAUUCAAUUGUCAGAGGUGAAAUUCUUGGAUUUAUUGAAGACUAACUACUGCGAAAGCAUUUGCCAAGGAUGUUUUCAUUAAUCAAGAACGAAAGUUAGGGGAUCGAAGACGAUCAGAUACCGUCGUAGUCUUAACCAUAAACUAUGCCGACUAGGGAUCGGAUGAUGUUAAUUUUUUAAUGACUCA